CCUACGGGAGGCAGCAGUAGGGAAUAUUGCUCAAUGGGCGAAACCCUGAAGCAGCAACGCCGCGUGGAGGAUGAAGGCUUUCGGAUUGUAAACUCCUUUUUUUAGAGAAGAUAAUGACGGUAUCUAACGACUAAGCACCGGCCAACUCCGUGCCAGCAGCCGCGGUAAUACGGAGGGUGCAAGCGUUACUCGGAAUCACUGGGCGUAAAGAGCGCGUAGACGGGAUAGCAAGUCAGAUGUGAAAUCCUAGGGCUUAACCAUAGAACUGCAGUUGAAACUGGUAUGCUAGAGUAUGGGAGAGGUAGGUGGAAUUCGUGGUGUAGGGGUGAAAUGCGUAGAGAUCAAGAGGAAUACUCAUUGCGAAGGCGGCCUGCUGGAACAUAACUGACGCUGAUGCGCGAAAGCGUGGGGAGCAAACAGGAUUAGAUACCCCAGUAGUC
RNAcentral lists this ribosomal RNA (440 nucleotides) under uncultured bacterium. RNAcentral's name for it is "partial 16S ribosomal RNA". It matches the Rfam family "Bacterial small subunit ribosomal RNA", at positions 338 to 795 of the family's 1533-position model. The record is from RNAcentral.